This 375-nucleotide ribosomal RNA is filed under the name uncultured organism. Its description in RNAcentral is "partial 16S ribosomal RNA". It matches the Rfam family "Bacterial small subunit ribosomal RNA", at positions 527 to 896 of the family's 1533-position model. The record is from RNAcentral.
AGAGAGUGCAAGCGUUAAUCGGGAAUAACUGGGGCGUAAAGCGCGCGUAGGUGGAUACUUUAGUCGGAUGUGAAAGCCCUGGGGGCUUAACCUGGGGAAUUGCACUCGAUACUGGGUAUCUUGAGUAUGGUAGAGGGAAGUGGAAUUUCAGGUGUAGCGGUGAAAUGCGUAGAUAUCUGAAGGAACACCAGUGGCGAAGGCGGCUUCCUGGACUGAUACUGACACUGAGGCGCGAAAGCGUGGGGAGCAAACAGGAUUAGAUACCCUGGUAGUCCACGCCGUAAACGAUGAGAACUAGCCGUUUGAGAGUUUAUCUUUUGAGUGGCGCAGCUAACGCGAUAAGUUCUCCACCUGGGGAGUACGGCCGCAAGGCUA